This is a long non-coding RNA of Canis lupus familiaris (dog), 1573 nucleotides long. RefSeq lists it as uncharacterized. The record is from RefSeq and is a predicted model, not a curated record. Lineage: Eukaryota; Metazoa; Chordata; Mammalia; Carnivora; Canidae. The transcript has 2 exons.
AGAGAGAAUGCACAAGCAGGGGAGGGGGCAGCAGGAGACGGAGUUGAUUCCCUGCUGAGCAUGGAACCCAGUCUUGAGGUCACCAGGCUCCAUCCCAGGGCACAGACAUCAAGACAUCAUCCAAAGUCAGAGGCUCAACUGAUUGAGCCAUGCAGGUGCCCAGUCAGGCUCCAUACCCAGCAUGCAGCCCGAUGCGGGGCUUGAACUCGUAACCCUGAGAUGGGGGGAGACCUGAACAAGAUCAAGAGUUCUGAUGCUUAAUCAACUGAGUAACUCAGGCAUCCCAAAGAUAAAACCAUGUUUCCAGUACCAUCCUAAAUAAACUUAUUGAUGAAAACAGAACUAAGGAGCAACACAGGGACUAAAAUAGACAUAUCCUGAUUUUUACAACCAGUGUUUUCUAUUAUCCCACAGAUGCCAACACUUGAAAAUGGUAUUUUAGGAAAGUGAGUAUGAUAUGCGGAAUGGAUUGGAUGAGGCAAGAAACCAGAAGCAAGAAGAGAACAACAGCUAUUGCUGUAAUCACUCCAAAACACCCACAAGUUACAAGAUACCACUAUUUUUUGAAGAAAUGCUAAUAACAUGGUAUCUGGAUUUUAUCAAUGGAACCUAAAAUCAAAAGUUAAAAGUAGAUAUUUUAUUAAAGUUAAUAUUCUAAGAUAAUGGUCUCCAAGUAGGAUUCACGGGGUGGGGGAUACAUAAGCAGUUACUUCAAGUGGUUCCCUGAAUCCUUACACAUAUCAACCAGCAUCCAGAGAAAAAUACGUACUAUCUUUCAUAUUUAUGCAGCAGAUAUUACAAUUAAUAAAACCCUGUUUAUCUAAAAGUUUUCCUGAAUGCAGCCUGAUACUUUAUCUCAAAUUUUUUCAGUGGGUACUAAAAACACAAACACAUUGUGUAAGCAUACACAGAAGUGUGUACGCAAUGAAAGGGGAAAAGCAGUUCUGCUCCUCUAAGAGACAAAUCCCUUGGACCAUUUGAAGAAUCCACCUGGGGAUCCCUGGGUUGCUCAGCAUUUUGGCGCCUGCCUUCGGCCCGGGGCGUGAUCCUCGAGUCCCGGGGUCGAGUCCCGUGUUGGGCUCCUUGCAUGGAGCCUGCUUCUCCCUCUGCCUGUGUCUCUGCGUCUCUCGCACGCUCUCUCUCACGAAUAAAUAAAAACAUAAAAAAAAUAAAAAAAAAAAGAAUCCACCUGAAGAAUAAAUCUCUGUCUUACAGUUUCAAGCUCACCACAAUUUCUGCUCAUGCAAGGGCCAUUAAUGCCUGUUAAGUGCCAGGCACUAUAUUAAGCAAUGAGGAUACAGAGAUAAUUAAGUCCCAAUUGCUAGCCCUGGAGGCUUUCAGUCCAGGGAAGUCAGAAAUGUAAAUGUUUAUGAAUCUAAUGAACUGAAUGUUAUAGAAACACAGAAGCAUUUAACAUAUGAAGAAAAAAGUUUUAAUCUGAAUGUUAAUGUCUUACUUUCAAACUGUCAAAAACCUUUUCCAAACUAAAUGUCAACUAUUGAAUGAAAAAAAAGCUAGCACUAUUCUGAAAGUAAAUACAUACAAUAAAAUUUUUUGAGAAUUAACUAUUAAA